RNAcentral lists this ribosomal RNA (434 nucleotides) under uncultured Lachnospiraceae bacterium. RNAcentral describes it as "partial 16S ribosomal RNA". It matches the Rfam family "Bacterial small subunit ribosomal RNA", at positions 341 to 792 of the family's 1533-position model. The record is from RNAcentral. Lineage: Bacteria; Bacillati; Bacillota; Clostridia; Lachnospirales; Lachnospiraceae.
ACGGAAGGCAGCAGUGGGGAAUAUUGCACAAUGGGGGAAACCCUGAUGCAGCAACGCCGCGUGAGUGACGAAGUAUUUCGGUAUGUAAAACUCUAUCAGCAGGGAAGAAGAUGACGGUACCUGACUAAGAAGCACCGGCUAAAUACGUGCCAGCAGCCGCGGUAAUACGUAUGGUGCAAGCGUUAUCCGGAUUUACUGGGUGUAAAGGGAGCGCAGGCGGCCAUGCAAGCCAGAGGUGAAAACCCGGGGCUCAACCCCGUGAUUGCCUUUGAAACUGUUUGGCUUGAGUACUGGAGGGGCAGGCGGAAUUCCUGGUGUAGCGGUGAAAUGCGUAGAUAUCAGGAGGAACAUCGGUGGCGAAGGCGGCCUGCUGGACGGAAACUGACGCUGAGGCUCGAAAGCGUGGGGAGCAAACAGGAUUAGAUACCCUGGUA